RNAcentral lists this unclassified non-coding RNA (103 nucleotides) under fungal sp. RNAcentral's name for it is "partial internal transcribed spacer region". The stretch from base 1 to 46 matches the Rfam family "Eukaryotic small subunit ribosomal RNA", at positions 1786 to 1831 of the family's 1831-position model. Lineage: Eukaryota; Fungi. The record is from RNAcentral.
AAGUCGUAACAAGGUUUCCGUAGGUGAACCUGCGGAAGGAUCAUCAGAGAUAACAAGAAGUAAGAAGAAGCACAACUCCCGGCAACGGAUCUCUAGGCUCUCC